GGAAGAGAUAACCGCUGAAAGCAUCUAAGCGGGAAACUUGCCUCGAGAUGAGUCUUCCCUGUCACUUUAAGUGACCUAAAGGAACGUUUAAGACUAAGACGUUGAUAGGCUGGGUGUGUAAGCGUAGCGAUACGUUGAGCUAACCAGUACUAAUGAACCGUGAGGCUUAACCUGACAACACCGAAAGUGUUUUG
RNAcentral lists this ribosomal RNA (194 nucleotides) under Proteus sp. G4379. Its description in RNAcentral is "partial 23S ribosomal RNA". The stretch from base 1 to 174 matches the Rfam family "Bacterial large subunit ribosomal RNA", at positions 2757 to 2925 of the family's 2925-position model. Lineage: Bacteria; Pseudomonadati; Pseudomonadota; Gammaproteobacteria; Enterobacterales; Morganellaceae. The record is from RNAcentral.